This 274-nucleotide ribosomal RNA is filed under the name uncultured bacterium. Its description in RNAcentral is "partial 16S ribosomal RNA". It matches the Rfam family "Bacterial small subunit ribosomal RNA", at positions 523 to 796 of the family's 1533-position model. The record is from RNAcentral.
AUACAGAGGGUGCGAGCGUUAAUCGGAAUUACUGGGCGUAAAGCGCGCGUAGGCGGCUUGGUCAGUCGGAUGUGAAAGCCCUGGGCUCAACCUGGGAAUUGCAUUCGAUACUGCCAAGCUAGAGUAUGGGAGAGGGAAGUGGAAUUUCCGGUGUAGCGGUGAAAUGCGUAGAUAUCGGAAAGAACACCAGUGGCGAAGGCGACUUCCUGGCCCAAUACUGACGCUGAGGUGCGAAAGCGUGGGGAGCGAACAGGAUUAGAAACCCUAGUAGUCC